RNAcentral lists this ribosomal RNA (254 nucleotides) under uncultured bacterium. RNAcentral describes it as "partial 16S ribosomal RNA". It matches the Rfam family "Bacterial small subunit ribosomal RNA", at positions 524 to 776 of the family's 1533-position model. The record is from RNAcentral.
UACGGAGGGUGCAAGCGUUAUCCGGAUUCACUGGGUUUAAAGGGCGCGUAGGUGGCCCGGUCAGUUCGUGGUGAAAGCGCGGGGCUCAACCCUGCGUCGGCCAUGAAUACUGCCGCGGCUGGAGCACUGUAGAGGCAGGCGGAAUUCCGGGUGUAGCGGUGGAAUGCGUAGAGAUCCGGAAGAACACCGGUGGCGAAGGCGGCCUGCUGGGCAGUUGCUGACACUGAGGCGCGACAGCGUGGGGAGCAAACAGG